UUCACCUCCCCCUCCCUCUCUGGUGUCACCCAGGACUGGCUGGCUUGCUCCGUGGCUGCCUACUCUGCAGACAAGUCCCCAUGUAUCACCUUGGGACAGGAGACAGAAAAUCUCUUUACACCCGCAGGGGUGAAUUAGCUGCCUAUGAAGCUCUGCUUGGCAGGGUGCGUGUAAUCUCUGAAUCAAAGCAUGAGAGAGCGAGCAGGGGACUUCGCUUGUAGCAGAGCGCUCUGGCCCAGUAAACUGCAUGCUCACUCCCGUCAUGAUGAUGCCACAGUUCGUCUACAGCAGGUGGGGCAGGACAUGGAGGCUGAGUGUCCAACCCCUUGGGGAUAGUAAGUGGUGACAGAGACUCCAAAGAACGCAUGACCAGAAUCAGAUGACGUUCUACCCAUGCUUUGCCAGCCAGGACAUCACCGUGACAACUUCUCACCUCUGUCAUUGCACAGGAAGAGCAGUGAGAGA
Molecule: long non-coding RNA, 465 nt
Organism: Rattus rattus (black rat)
Lineage: Eukaryota; Metazoa; Chordata; Mammalia; Rodentia; Muridae
Exons: 3
Source: RefSeq, a predicted model, not a curated record